Molecule: ribosomal RNA, 269 nt
Filed under: uncultured bacterium
Lineage: Bacteria
Description: partial 16S ribosomal RNA
Rfam family: Bacterial small subunit ribosomal RNA
Source: RNAcentral
UUUGAUGGCGACCGGCGCACGGGUGAGUAACACGUAUCCAACCUGCCGAUGACUCGGGGAUAGCCUUUCGAAAGAAAGAUUAAUACCCGAUGGCAUAGUUCUUCCGCAUGGUAGAACUAUUAAAGAAUUUCGGUCAUCGAUGGGGAUGCGUUCCAUUAGGUUGUUGGCGGGGUAACGGACCACCAAGCCUUCGAUGGAUAGGGGUUCUGAGAGGAAGGUCCCCCACAUUGAACUGAGACACGGUCCAAACUCCUACGGGAGGCAGCAUG